GGGCUUGUGGUCUAGCGGCUAUGAUACUGCCUCGACAUGGCAGGGAUCCCCGGUUCGAGACAAGGGUAUCGUUCCUUGAUCCCUGGGCGUACAUUGACUUUGUCAAGUACACCAGUUGGAUGUAACAUCGAUUCCUUUGGCGAAACUCCGGGCAGGCCCA
Molecule: transfer RNA, 160 nt
Filed under: archaeon
Lineage: Archaea
Description: tRNA-Val
Source: RNAcentral